GAACAGACGAGGAGCUUGCUCCUCUGACGUUAGCGGCGGACGGGUGAGUAACACGUGGAUAACCUACCUAUAAGACUGGGAUAACUUCGGGAAACCGGAGCUAAUACCGGAUAAUAUAUUGAACCGCAUGGUUCAAUAGUGAAAGACGGUUUUGCUUGUCACUUAUAGAUGGAUCCGCGCCGCAUUAGCUAGUUGGUAAGGUAACGGCUUACCAAGGCAACGAUGCGUAGCCGACCUGAGAGGGUGAUCGGCCACACUGGAACUGAGACACGGUCCAGACUCCUACGGGAGGCAGCAGUAGGGAAUCUUCCGCAAUGGGCGAAAGCCUGACGGAGCAACGCCGCGUGAGUGAUGAAGGUCUUCGGAUCGUAAAACUCUGUUAUUAGGGAAGAACAAAUGUGUAAGUAACUAUGCACGUCUUGACGGUACCUAAUCAGAAAGCCACGGCUAACUACGUGCCAGCAGCCGCGGUAAUACGUAGGUGGCAAGCGUUAUCCGGAAUUAUUGGGCGUAAAGCGCGCGUAGGCGGUUUUUUAAGUCUGAUGUGAAAGCCCACGGCUCAACCGUGGAGGGUCAUUGGAAACUGGAAAACUUGAGUGCAGAAGAGGAAAGUGGAAUUCCAUGUGUAGCGGUGAAAUGCGCAGAGAUAUGGAGGAACACCAGUGGCGAAGGCGACUUUCUGGUCUGUAACUGACGCUGAUGUGCGAAAGCGUGGGGAUCAAACAGGAUUAGAUACCCCUGGUAGUCCACGCCGUAAACGAUGAGUGCUAAGUGUUAGGGGGUUUCCGCCCCUUAGUGCUGCAGCUAACGCAUUAAGCACUCCGCCUGGGGAGUACGACCGCAAGGUUG
Molecule: ribosomal RNA, 849 nt
Filed under: uncultured Staphylococcus sp.
Lineage: Bacteria; Bacillati; Bacillota; Bacilli; Caryophanales; Staphylococcaceae
Description: bacterial SSU rRNA
Rfam family: Bacterial small subunit ribosomal RNA
Source: RNAcentral